AACGCUGGCGGCGUGCCUAAUACAUGCAAUUCGAACGAAUCUCUUUUAGAGAUGAGUGGCGAACGGGUGAGUAAUACAUAGGUAACCUGCCCCUGUGCGGGGGAUAACAGGAGGAAACUCCUGCUAAUACCGCAUAGCCAUGAGCACCGCAUGGAGCUCAUGCCAAAUAUCCUUUAUGGGAUAGCGCAGGGAUGGACCUAUGGCGCAUUAGCUGGUUGGCGGGGCAACGGCCCACCAAGGCAACGAUGCGUAGCCGGCCUGAGAGGGCGGACGGCCACAUUGGGACUGAGACACGGCCCAGACUCCUACGGGAGGCAGCAGUAGGGAAUUUUCGGCAAUGGGGGAAACCCUGACCGAGCAACGCCGCGUGAGCGAAGAAGGCCUUCGGGUCGUAAAGCUCUGUUGUAAAGGAAGAACGGCGCAUACAGGAAAUGGUAUGCGAGUGACGGUACUUUACCAGAAAGCCACGGCUAACUACGUGCCAGCAGCCGCGGUAAUACGUAGGUGGCGAGCGUUAUCCGGAAUCAUUGGGCGUAAAGAGGGAGCAGGCGGCCGCAAGGGUCUGUGGUGAAAGACCGAAGCUAAACUUCGGUAAGCCAUGGAAACCGGGCGGCUAGAGUGCGGAAGAGGAUCGUGGAAUUCCAUGUGUAGCGGUGAAAUGCGUAGAUAUAUGGAGGAACACCAGUGGCGAAGGCGACGGUCUGGGCCGCAACUGACGCUCAUUCCCGAAAGCGUGGGGAGCAAAUAGGAUUAGAUACCCUAGUAGUCCACGCCGUAAACGAUGGUCACUAAGUGUCGGGGGUCAAACCCCGGUGCUGCUGUCGACGCAAUAAGUGACCAGCCUGAGUAGUACGUUCGCAAGAAUGCAACU
Molecule: ribosomal RNA, 871 nt
Filed under: uncultured bacterium
Lineage: Bacteria
Description: bacterial SSU rRNA
Rfam family: Bacterial small subunit ribosomal RNA
Source: RNAcentral